Molecule: ribosomal RNA, 522 nt
Filed under: uncultured bacterium
Lineage: Bacteria
Description: bacterial SSU rRNA
Rfam family: Bacterial small subunit ribosomal RNA
Source: RNAcentral
GUAGAGUUUGAUCAUGGCUCAGAUUGAACGCUGGCGGCAGGCCUAACACAUGCAAGUCGAGCGGAUGAGAAGAGCUUGCUCUUCGAUUCAGCGGCGGACGGGUGAGUAAUGCCUAGGAAUCUGCCUGGUAGUGGGGGACAACGUUUCGAAAGGARCGCUAAUACCGCAUACGUCCUACGGGAGAAAGCAGGGGACCUUCGGGCCUUGCGCUAUCAGAUGAGCCUAGGUCGGAUUAGCUAGUUGGUGAGGUAAUGGCUCACCAAGGCGACGAUCCGUAACUGGUCUGAGAGGAUGAUCAGUCACACUGGAACUGAGACACGGUCCAGACUCCUACGGGAGGCAGCAGUGGGGAAUAUUGGACAAUGGGCGAAAGCCUGAUCCAGCCAUGCCGCGUGUGUGAAGAAGGUCUUCGGAUUGUAAAGCACUUUAAGGUGGGAGGAAGGGUUGUWGAUUAAUACUCUGCAAUUUGACGUUACCGCCAGAAUAAGCACCGGCUAACUCUGUGCCAGCAGCCGCGGUACC